This 350-nucleotide ribosomal RNA is filed under the name uncultured bacterium. RNAcentral's name for it is "bacterial SSU rRNA". It matches the Rfam family "Bacterial small subunit ribosomal RNA", at positions 355 to 697 of the family's 1533-position model. The record is from RNAcentral.
UGGGGAAUUUUGGACAAUGGGGGCAACCCUGAUCCAGCCAUGCCGCGUGAGUGAAGAAGGCCUUCGGGUUGUAAAGCUCUUUCGGCCGGAACGAAAUCGCAUCCUUUAAUACGGGGUGUGGAUGACGGUACCGGAAGAAGAAGCACCGGCUAACUACGUGCCAGCAGCCGCGGUAAUACGUAGGGUGCGAGCGUUAAUCGGAAUUACUGGGCGUAAAGCGUGCGCAGGCGGUUCGCUAAGACAGGUGUGAAAUCCCCGGGCUUAACCUGGGAAUGGCGCUUGUGACUGGCGGGCUGGAGUACGGCAGAGGGAGGUGGAAUUCCACGUGUAGCAGUGAAAUGCGUAGAGAU